RNAcentral lists this long non-coding RNA (807 nucleotides) under Cyanistes caeruleus (blue tit). RNAcentral's name for it is "lncRNA (ENSCCEG00000011864.1)". The record is from RNAcentral. Lineage: Eukaryota; Metazoa; Chordata; Aves; Passeriformes; Paridae.
CCUUACUCAGCCAUGACAUGUGUUACACAGAUGGGAGAGCCAAGGCAAAAAUAGGCACAGCGCUUCUCCCGGCUCCUGCAGAACAGCAGCAAAAGCCGAGCGGGAUCCCCGAUGAACCCCGGUGUCCAGGAGCCUCCAUGGGCAAGGGGGCAGGCACCAGCCCAGCCUGGGAAAAAUCCAGCCCCAAGGCGAGACCGAUCCACGCUCUUUAGUGAGACCACCGGAGCAUUGCCCCGAAUCCGCGGCCCCGGCACCCGCUAGAUGUGGCAGUCACAAUGUCAGGACCUCAGUGGCAGGAUGCACCUCAGCACAGCAGGUUUUGGGGAAAGAAGAGGACACGUGGAACAAUUACGAUGAGAAAGGAGCAAGCUGCAGAUGGAGAAGGUCUGCAGCUUUCCUUCCUGCUGAGUUACAAACUCACUCCUGCUUUAUUCCUCCACUUGGCACUUCCCUGCCUUGGCUCAGAGCACGUAGGCUUCAUCCUCUUGAUGAUCAGCUGAGGAGCAGAUGGAGGAUCAGAGGAGCAGGAUGGCUGCUUUAUGAGGUGUACCCAUGGCAGCAUUCGUGGAAACAACCAACAAGUGACCACGAGCCAGGAUUUCAAAUGCUGCAAUACCCGAAGUUGGAAUGUAGGGGAAGUCAUAGUCAAAGUCAUAGAACCCAGGGAUCCUGCAGUUUUAAAUUUUUCUCAGCUUUCGUUUAAAGCAAAGUGUCUAAUGUUCAUGUUCUCAAACAAAAGCUUGGAAAUGGGAAGCCUUGAACAUCAAAGAAAAUAAAAGAAUCCAAAACUGAUGAUUUUUUUUAUUU